GACGUAGGGCGCGAGCGUUGUCCGGAUUUAUUGGGCGUAAAGAGCUCGUAGGCGGCUCGUUGCGUCAACCGUGAAAACCCGAGGCUCAACCUCGGGCCUGCAGUGGGUACGGGCAGACUAGAGUGUGGUAGGGGAGACUGGAAUUCCUGGUGUAGCGGUGGAAGUGCGCAGAUAUCAGGAGGAACACCAAUGGCGAAGGCAGGUCUCUGGGCCACAACUGACGCUGGAGGAGCGAAAGCGUGGGGAGCGAACAGG
RNAcentral lists this ribosomal RNA (255 nucleotides) under uncultured bacterium. RNAcentral's name for it is "partial 16S ribosomal RNA". It matches the Rfam family "Bacterial small subunit ribosomal RNA", at positions 524 to 776 of the family's 1533-position model. The record is from RNAcentral.